RNAcentral lists this ribosomal RNA (428 nucleotides) under uncultured bacterium. Its description in RNAcentral is "partial 16S ribosomal RNA". It matches the Rfam family "Bacterial small subunit ribosomal RNA", at positions 354 to 796 of the family's 1533-position model. The record is from RNAcentral.
GUGGGGAAUAUUGGGCAAUGGGCGAAAGCCUGACCCAGCAACGCCGCGUGAGGGAAGAAGGCCUUCGGGUUGUAAACCUCUGUCCUUGGUGACGAAGAAAGUGACGGUAGCCAAGGAGGAAGCCCCGGCUAACUACGUGCCAGCAGCCGCGGUAAUACGUAGGGGGCGAGCGUUGUCCGGAAUUACUGGGCGUAAAGGGUGCGUAGGUGGCCUUUUAAGUUGGAUGUGAAAUACCCGGGCUUAACUUGGGGGGUGCAUCUAAUACUGGGAGGCUAGAGUGCAGGAGAGGGAAGCGGAAUUCCUAGUGUAGCGGUGAAAUGCGUAGAUAUUAGGAGGAACACCAGUGGCGAAGGCGGCUUUCUGGACUGUAACUGACACUGAGGCACGAAAGCGUGGGGAGCAAACAGGAUUAGAAACCCUGGUAGUCC